GCGCUCGUAGCUCAGCUGGACAGAGCACGUGACUACGAAUCACGGGGUCGCAGGUUCGAGUCCUGCCGAGCGCG
Molecule: transfer RNA, 74 nt
Filed under: Rubrobacter xylanophilus DSM 9941
Lineage: Bacteria; Bacillati; Actinomycetota; Rubrobacteria; Rubrobacterales; Rubrobacteraceae
Description: tRNA-Arg (ACG) (tRNA-Arg-ACG-1-1)
Rfam family: tRNA
About the family: Transfer RNA (tRNA) molecules are approximately 80 nucleotides in length.
Source: Rfam by way of RNAcentral